GUUGCUUCCUAUGACAGGCGGCGACGUCAGGCUCUCUCUCUCUCGCCGAAGAAUUCAAACAAUUACGACGUACCCUUCGCGCCUCUGGCGCGA
Molecule: small RNA, 93 nt
Filed under: Xanthomonas campestris
Lineage: Bacteria; Pseudomonadati; Pseudomonadota; Gammaproteobacteria; Lysobacterales; Lysobacteraceae
Description: sRNA Xoo1
Rfam family: Xanthomonadaceae sRNA Xoo1
Source: RNAcentral